RNAcentral lists this microRNA (22 nucleotides) under Ananas comosus (pineapple). Its description in RNAcentral is "microRNA s0864_c115a". Lineage: Eukaryota; Viridiplantae; Streptophyta; Magnoliopsida; Poales; Bromeliaceae. The record is from RNAcentral.
CAGUCAGCAUAAAUUGAAGUAA